Molecule: long non-coding RNA, 591 nt
Organism: Peromyscus californicus insignis
Lineage: Eukaryota; Metazoa; Chordata; Mammalia; Rodentia; Cricetidae
Exons: 4
Source: RefSeq, a predicted model, not a curated record
AUUUCUAAAUCUAGUCAUCAGAAAUUUAAAAAUAAUUGUUAAACAUACUAGCUACCAUAAAGCACCAUUUCAAGUACUUCAUCCAGAAACAAUUAAAUUACAGGGGGAUGGGAUUGGACCUACCUCAACUGAAUGUACCAGGCUCUGCUGACUCCACAUGAGAGGUCUUACCCUUUUGGAGGAGGGAAUGGAUGGUUCUUACUAUGUAGUCCUUUCUGAGUGGGGACACUGUGUAGCUAUGUAGUUUAGGCUGGCCUCAAAUGCAGAGAGAUCUACCUGUUUGUCUCUUUGAAUCCUGGGAAUAAAGAUUUGAGAUUUCAGUAUCAUACACCAGCCAUUGUGACUGGGGAGUAACUGAGGGUCAACAACACAAAGAUAUUACAAAUGUUUCAGAAAAUAUAACUGCUCACUAUGCUGCCUGGAUGACAAUUCAUCAUACACAGAAAGAUGCCUGAAUAAUGUAAGUGUGAAAACCUUGGAAUCCAAACAGUUAAAGGGGAAAAUAGAUUUCUGAAGGUUUGUCCACUGACUUUACCUGGGUGUUGUGUGUGUGUGUGUGUGUGUGUGUGUGUGUGUGUGUGUGUGUGUGUA